Molecule: ribosomal RNA, 465 nt
Filed under: Vreelandella stevensii
Lineage: Bacteria; Pseudomonadati; Pseudomonadota; Gammaproteobacteria; Oceanospirillales; Halomonadaceae
Description: partial 16S ribosomal RNA
Rfam family: Bacterial small subunit ribosomal RNA
Source: RNAcentral
CCUACGGGUAGCAGCAGUGGGGAAUAUUGGACAAUGGGCGAAAGCCUGAUCCAGCCAUGCCGCGUGUGUGAAGAAGGCCUUCGGGUUGUAAAGCACUUUCAGUGGGGAAGAAAGCCUUGGGGCUAAUACCCUCGAGGAAGGACAUCACCCACAGAAGAAGCACCGGCUAACUCCGUGCCAGCAGCCGCGGUAAUACGGAGGGUGCGAGCGUUAAUCGGAAUUACUGGGCGUAAAGCGCGCGUAGGCGGUCUGAUAAGCCGGUUGUGAAAGCCCCGGGCUCAACCUGGGAACGGCAUCCGGAACUGUCAGGCUAGAGUGCAGGAGAGGAAGGUAGAAUUCCCGGUGUAGCGGUGAAAUGCGUAGAGAUCGGGAGGAAUACCAGUGGCGAAGGCGGCCUUCUGGACUGACACUGACGCUGAGGUGCGAAAGCGUGGGUAGCAAACAGGAUUAGAUACCCCAGUAGUC